This 5078-nucleotide long non-coding RNA is filed under the name Sus scrofa (pig). Its description in RNAcentral is "lncRNA (ENSSSCG00000056894.1)". The record is from RNAcentral. Lineage: Eukaryota; Metazoa; Chordata; Mammalia; Artiodactyla; Suidae.
CUUGCUCGAGGCUUUUUCCGAACCAGUUCUUUGUUGAAAAAAGACAGGCUUUCAUGGAGACUGUGCUUAGUGAUGGCAGUGAGCAUGCACAAAUAGGGAGGGUUACUGAGACGUGAUAGAUACACAACAAAACAUACACACAACAAAAAGAAACUGAUACUGUAUAGCAAAGCCUUCUUCCUGACAGAGUCUAUAUUUCUACAGCAGAAUUUAAAUGCAAACUUUGGAAAAUUAUCUCACAAUUCACUAAAUCCUACCAAACCCACAUAAGCAUUGCCUAUAAAAUAGAUUUAGCUGUUUUAUAAAUCAUAAAGCAUCAUGUUUCCGCUCUUACCGAGAUAACGCAAGUGUAGAUGGGCUAUUUUUAUUGAUUUUUUCCCCCUGAUGUCCUAGGUUCACUGUAGUUGGAACUGCUCAAAGCAGCCCUUACCCCAAUUAGUCUUAAUUCUUGUGACACUUCUGAGUAAGACAAAAGGAAAUUAGCAACAUCUGUUCGACCAGAGGAUAUAACCCAGGACCGCUCUUGUUUCAAUGAAACCCGUAUCUUGGGUCAAUUCUAGUCAACUCUGGAGCUUCUUAUUUCGCUUUGCAAGUGUCUUCAGAGCUUCCUGCUCUUUUCUUCCCUCUCCUCCCUUCCCUCACCAACUGGGUAAUCUAUAUGAUUAUUAUUUUUUCUUCAAUGUUUCUCCCCGAUGAUUUAAGGACAUAGGAGGAAUAGAACCCUGUCCUAACACCAUGUAACCAGGAAAACUAUCACUCCCAGGAACUGAGUCCUGCUUCCCAUUAUCCAGUGCCUAAGGAGGGUCCUUGUUGAAAAAGUCACCCGUCUGAAAAAUCAACAUUCACUGGUUGGUAAAUCCUUCUUUUAUGCACUGAAACCUGCCUGGACUAGGCCUGACUUUUAUCCCUUUGGACAUUCCUCACUGUCAUAACAGCCCUGCCCUUGAGCAAACCAGCUAUAGGAAAACACAUUUACUUUAGGUAUUAUACAAACCCAAUGAUCUCUCCCUUCCCACCCACGGCUCACGCUACUGACAACUUGGCAGAUCUAAAGAUGCUCACAUUAUGAUCAAACCUAAAGAACUAUUUUAUUCUGCACUGUAUCCCCCCCAAAAUAUACAGAGUUAAUGUACACAAAGAAGGAUAAAGAUAGUCACGCUGGUAUAAAAUAUGUUUACUGACAACAACCAGCAAAGAACAAGACUCAGAGUUGCUUUUUUUUCUUCUUAGAAACACUGCUUGAGUUAAGCAACUUCCAACUAGUUCUGCGGCAUUAGUCAGACCUCCAAGCUUAAAUUUUUGCAUUGUUUGGUACUUUCCAUUCCUGUGAAGGUAAACAUAGCCAUUAAUCCAACAUCUUGGCAACAGCAAUGUUUUGUUGUGAAAAAGUUGAUCUCCAGGGCUGGGGUAAAUACAUGAGCACAUAGGAAAUUUUGAUAUACGGUGUUUGUGAGAAUGGAUAAAUAAUGUUCUUGAAGCAUAUUUGAUUGAAUGUUUAUUCUGUAAAUCACCCUAACCACUUACAUAAGAAGCUAAGAAUUAUGUAAAAAUAUUUUUCUAAGACAGAUAUAUCUGAGUAUAAGCCAAAUAGCUAAGCCAAUUCUUGUUUUUUAAAAGGAAAAGAAAGCAAAAAAGUAGGUCGGGAUGCUUUCUUAUAAACUUCAGUUUUAUAAGCUCUGAACUCUAGUAAUAUUAAUUAUUAAUAAUUCUUUAAGUGAUUUUAUGUGGCAUAAGCUUAAUUCAUAAUAUAAUUGUGUUUUUAAUGAUUCCUAGGGUUUAUCAGAGAAGAAAAAGUAAGAUCUAAUAAUAUAUAAUUCCAUAUGCUGAUUUUCUACUAUAACAUUUUAAAUAUGUUUUAGAGGAAAUAUACAAACAUAUAGCAUUAUAUAUAUAUAUAAAACUAUACAUAUGGAAAAGCAUAGAUUAUAUAUAGAUGUUAAAUUAUAAAAGAUUUGUCAUAUCUGUACUUCAUUUCUUUCUUGCUGCUAUGUUGUAAAGAUUUAGCUAGGAUGACCACUAAAGUGAGCCAGUGGAGGACUGUCUGAUGAACAGAGAAAGAAGAAACAAUUUCAGGAUAACUACUUAAUGUGUCAGUUUUUCUGGGUCCAUAAAGUGAAGAAUGAAAAAAUGUUCUCAGUAUCACUAACAACUAAAAUGUUCAAAAAAUACGGAAUCUCCCUAAUGGAAACUUAAUGUGCUAAUUUCCUUCUGAUGAGACUAAAUUGGCAUGUAUCUGACUAAAGUUCUUCAAUAUGAAACAGCCGUUUCUCAAACCAUGUCUUAAUCUAUUUUUCCUAAUGUGUUAAUAAAGGUCAGACUAGAGAGCUGAUUGUUUUAGAAUAAGCGGGAGAAAUUGUGACUCGAACCUGAGUCAUCUAAGUUUCCUGGCUUUUUGACCUAACGUAGAUUAUAUUUUGUAUUGUGGUGGAUAAUGAAUUUGUGGAAACUCAACAAUACUCACUCGGGAUAAUUUGUAUUUAUAUGAAAAGGAUUUGAGGAAACAAACUAUGCUCUAUAGUUAUCACACAAAAUUCACUUGGUUCUUUGAUGCACUAUAUAUAUAUAUAUAUACACAUAUGGAGUGGCCACCAUGAUGCCAUGAUUCCCAGUCCACUAAAAUGAUGCUAAAUAUUGAUGACUGAAGACAAGAAACAAACAGAAUAGAAAAAUAAAGAACCAUUUUCCUUUCCUCAUUGGUUGAUUUCUAGUUUGGGGUUCUGUAGUCUGAACCCAGUAAGGAGGUAGUAGACUGUGGGACCAGAUGUACAUAACUUCUUCAUUCUGAACUCCUCCUGGUCCUAGUUAUAAAAGGAGGACUGUGUCUGUGUAGCUUCUAAGAUUCCUUCUAAUGUAACACUGAAUUACUAUGUUAUACUAUUAUGGUACCAAAGACAUAUAAUUCCUAUCGAAUCAUCAGAAGCAAAGAAGAUGGAUUUUUCCAACAUGUGAAAAUUUAACACUUUAAAAGAAAAGACUAACUCCUGGCAAAAUUUUGCCAAAAUUAAAACACUGAAAAGAGGAAGAACAAAUAUAAAGGGAGAAUCAAAUGGGAGAUAUCCCUAACAAAACAAUGAGAAUAAACAGAAUAGAAAGCAUGAAAGGAGCUAUUGCUGCAAAGCAAAUCUUGGUUAUGUGGCUGGAGAGUUUACAGUAAGUCAAAGAGGUCAAAGACAGAACCCCUGAGAAUGAGACAUAAACUGGUAUAUGUUGUAAACUUAAAACACAUAUAAUUAUCAUUUUGAAUCCAGACUUUUCUAGCACAACAUUAAAGUAUAAGAAAAAAAAUCAAUAUCUAAAGGAUGUUCAGGGGAAAAAUAUUUAAUAUAUUCUAAACAAGCACAGCAUUCACAUACAAAGAAAACAAAAACAAGGCAUUUUAGAAUAUAAAAGCAUUUUAAAUUGUAUAGCCUUUUUGAUGAGUCUAUCCGAAAAUGGAAUCAAGCUAAAAAAUGAAUUAAAAUACAUAUGAAUCAACAGGUCAAAGAAUGAAAAGAUUAGAAGAGUAUUCUGCAUCCAGAUAAACAUAUAGUUAAAUUCUAAAAAUUCUAACAACUGGCUGUAAAACAGAACGUAAGUGUUUAAAUUAUAGGAAUAAAACUCAAUACUUUGAAAAAUAAGAGAGGGGCAAAAAUAUCCCAGAGUGUGCCCCAAAUUGGAAGAAGUGGCCAGACAAGGAAAGGUGAAGCAGUCCUUAAUCUUCCACAGUAGGGAAUCAAAGGACGUUGUUUACUCUUUGUGGCCAACAACUAGAAAAAAACUAUGCAAUACAAAGAUACAGAGAUAAUCACUUUUAGAAAAGAACAGUGAAUAUAGACUAUAUUCCUUCCAUAUUAGCAAAAAUAGAAGAGAAAGAAUAGCAAAAACAAUUAAAACAAGGGAUGUACCUGUUACAUAACAAAAAAGAAAUGUUUAGACUUAAACACUUGAAGCAAACCAAAAUAGCUGAUGACAGUAAAUGAAAAUUUCACCAAACAGGGCAUCCUGAAAAUUCUAGAAGAAAUAAAACAAGCUGUGAAAGAGUAAUAACCAGAUCAGCUUCGUAUUUUUUAUCAGUAAAAGUAGAUGCCAAAAAUGGAAACACCUUCAAAAAUUAUAGGGAAAUCCAGAAUCCAGAAUUCUAAACACCUGUGAUAGAUUGUAUAGUGAACAAAAAAUAUUCACUCCGGCCUCAUAAUAGGAUUCUACAUCCCUGUCUGUCGACUUAUGAUUUUCCUAAGACUAUAUUGCCAUGGCACUGACCACAGAUUUUGACCGGGGAGAUGUGCUUUGGCAAUUGAGAUGUGAAUGGACAGGGUAUUAACCAGAUCUGCGUCAGAUGCUUUAAAUGUUACUGCAUCAUUUGAUUUGACAUCACCCUUGCAUCCCUGCCCUUGGCUGUGAGAAUCCAUAAGCUAGACAGGGGCUACUCUACCAGCCUGCGGCUCUGAUACAGAAGACUGCGAGCUGCUGAGCCAAGCUGAGCCACACUGACUCAAGCAAAGCUGAAGCUCAUCCACAGCCCUCAGACAAUGUGAGCCAGAAAUAAAUCCAUGCUGCUCUAAGUCACUGAGAUUUUGAGACUGUUUCUUACCAUAGCAAAACUGAAAAUACAGAUAUAAAAAGGACUCUCAUCCCCCAAAGGAGACAUUUAUUGUAUUCUAAACAUUCAUUUCCCCUUUGUUCUAAUAUUAGCACAGAGAUUUUCAUCUGGGAACUACUCCUUUUCCAAGCUCCAUGUAAGUGGUUUGGGUGAUUCCAGGCACAGGUACCAACUCCAUGAGGGGUUGAUUCAGUCAGAAGUAGGUACAUGUCCCCCUUCAGCCAUGAGACAUGCUCAGUGGCUUUUACACAGUGGCAUGAUUACUAUCGAGACAAGCUUUCUCUGGACUUAAGCCUGGACUAAUGUCAGUCCAGAUUUUUCAGGGGCCAUCCUGGGAAGACAGACUGUUUUAAAAAGUCCACACAUGAAGGUAAAAUUGAGGCUGAGGUAUGAUGACAUUAUUAAGAUGUUGAACACAACUGUCAUAUUCCUGGACUUUUCUUAAAUGAAUAAUUCUCCUUUUUGCCUUAGACAAUUUUAGUUAAUUUUUACUUAUAGC